RNAcentral lists this long non-coding RNA (235 nucleotides) under Elaeis guineensis (African oil palm). Its description in RNAcentral is "long non-coding RNA (EGUI_LNC017528)". The record is from RNAcentral. Lineage: Eukaryota; Viridiplantae; Streptophyta; Magnoliopsida; Arecales; Arecaceae.
ACAUGCAUGCGAAGUAGAGGAUCUGCACAUCCAGGCCUCCAUGAAGAUUUAUAUCAAAUAAUUUGAGAUUUGAUCUCUGAUCUCUGAUUUCACUGUGAUUCAGGUAAAGAUUUGAUCUUAAACAAGUAAAAUAUUAGAAAAAAUUUUUACAUGCAACCUGGGCAUUUUGGAGGAAAACUGUUCCCUUCCUUUCAAUUGGUAUCAGAGCAGGCCUGAAAUAUAUGCAUACAUGAUA